Molecule: ribosomal RNA, 253 nt
Filed under: uncultured Novosphingobium sp.
Lineage: Bacteria; Pseudomonadati; Pseudomonadota; Alphaproteobacteria; Sphingomonadales; Sphingomonadaceae
Description: partial 16S ribosomal RNA
Rfam family: Bacterial small subunit ribosomal RNA
Source: RNAcentral
UACGGAGGGAGCUAGCGUUGUUCGGAAUUACUGGGCGUAAAGCGCACGUAGGCGGCUAUUCAAGUCAGAGGUGAAAGCCCGGGGCUCAACCCCGGAACAGCCUUUGAAACUAGGUAGCUAGAAUCUUGGAGAGGUCAGUGGAAUUCCGAGUGUAGAGGUGAAAUUCGUAGAUAUUCGGAAGAACACCAGUGGCGAAGGCGACUGACUGGACAAGUAUUGACGCUGAGGUGCGAAAGCGUGGGGAGCAAACAGG